UUUCGCACGUACGCGCGCGGGAGCCUUGGAAAGCAGCUGGCAACAGCGGUUGGACGACUUGAGAAUAAACAAUACCAACCCUCGUGCUAGUCGAUCGUCCCGGACGAUCGGCGACACUUUCGAAAUGACGGGGAAGUCCUAAAGCCCUCCACACCAAACCAGCCGGGGAAACCCGCUGGCGGCCCAAGGGAAAGCCUUGGGGUACGGUAACAGCUGGAGAGGGAUGCAACAAUGGACCACCCGCAGCGAAGCCCCUGUGCCUUGCGGCUGGGGAACGUUCACAGGCCAAGCGGAAGUGGGUGGGGUCGCGACCCCGCUUAAGAUAUGGUCGGACCUCGGCGGAAACGCCGGGGAGGCGAGACGUUCCGUAGGUGAACCUGCGGAAGGAUCAUUA
This 394-nucleotide ribosomal RNA is filed under the name ascomycete sp. CRI252. RNAcentral describes it as "partial 18S ribosomal RNA". The stretch from base 51 to 352 matches the Rfam family "Group I catalytic intron". From Rfam's summary of the family: Group I catalytic introns are large self-splicing ribozymes. The record is from RNAcentral. Lineage: Eukaryota; Fungi; Ascomycota.